RNAcentral lists this ribosomal RNA (440 nucleotides) under uncultured bacterium. Its description in RNAcentral is "partial 16S ribosomal RNA". It matches the Rfam family "Bacterial small subunit ribosomal RNA", at positions 338 to 795 of the family's 1533-position model. The record is from RNAcentral.
CCUACGGGUGGCAGCAGUGAGGAAUAUUGGUCAAUGGGGGAAACCCUGAAGCAGCAACGCCGCGUGAAGGAUGAAGGUUUUCGGAUUGUAAACUCCUUUUGUUAGAGAAGAUAAUGACGGUAUCUCACGAAUUAGCACCGGCUAACUCCGUGCCAACAUCCGCGGUAAUCCGGAGGGUGCAAGCGUUACUCGGAAUCACUGGGCGUAAAGAGAGCGUAGGCGGGAUAACAAGUCAGAUGUGAAAUCCUAGGGCUUAACCAUAGAAGUGCAUUUGAAACUGUUAUUCUAGAGUAUAGGAGAGGUAGGUGGAAUUCUUGGUGGAGGGGUAAAAUCCGUAGAGAUCAAGAGGAAUACUCAUUGCGAAGGCGACCUGCUAGAACAUAACUGACGCUGAUGCGCGAAAGCGUGGGGAGCAAACAGGAUUAGAUACCCCUGUAGUC